This 253-nucleotide ribosomal RNA is filed under the name uncultured bacterium. RNAcentral's name for it is "partial 16S ribosomal RNA". It matches the Rfam family "Bacterial small subunit ribosomal RNA", at positions 524 to 776 of the family's 1533-position model. The record is from RNAcentral.
UACGUAGGGUGCGAGCGUUGUCCGGAAUUAUUGGGCGUAAAGGGCUCGUAGGCGGCCAACUAAGUCAUACGUGAAAUCCCUCAGCUUAACUGGGGAACUGCGUGUGAUACUGGAUGGCUUGGAUUUGGGAGAGGGAUGCGGAAUUCCAGGUGUAGCGGUGAAAUGCGUAGAUAUCUGGAGGAACACCGGUGGCGAAGGCGGCGUUCUGGACUGCAACUGACACUGAGGAACGAAAGCCAGGGGAGCAAACGGG